RNAcentral lists this ribosomal RNA (279 nucleotides) under uncultured bacterium. RNAcentral describes it as "partial 16S ribosomal RNA". It matches the Rfam family "Bacterial small subunit ribosomal RNA", at positions 506 to 784 of the family's 1533-position model. The record is from RNAcentral.
UGCCAGCAGCCGCGGUAAUACGGAGGGCGCAAGCGUUGUUCGGAAUCAUUGGGCGGAAAGCGGGUGUAGGCGGCAAGGUAAGUCGGGUGUGAAAUCCCUGGGCCCAACCCAGGAACUGCACUCGAAACUGCCUUGCUAGAGUCCCGGAGAGGGUGGCGGAAUUCCCGGUGUAGAGGUGAAAUUCGUAGAUAUCGGGAGGAACACCAGUGGCGAAGGCGGCCACCUGGACGGUGACUGACGCUCAGACCCGAAAGCGUGGGGAGCAAACAGGAUUAGAUA